This 253-nucleotide ribosomal RNA is filed under the name uncultured bacterium. RNAcentral's name for it is "partial 16S ribosomal RNA". It matches the Rfam family "Bacterial small subunit ribosomal RNA", at positions 524 to 776 of the family's 1533-position model. The record is from RNAcentral.
UACAGAGGGGGCAAGCGUUAUUCGGAAUUAUUGGACGUAAAGGGCGCGUAGGCGGCUUUGCAAGUGACGGGUGAAAUCCCUCGGCUUAACCGAGGAACUGCCUGUCAGACUGUGAGGCUUGAGACCGGGAGAGGUGAGUGGAAUUCCCAGUGUAGCGGUGAAAUGCGUAGAUAUCUGGAGGAACACCGGUGGCGAAGGCGGCAUCCUGGACCGGUAUUGACGCUGAGGCGCGAAAGCUAGGGGAGCAAACGGG